CUUCAGCGACCCGAGCCAGACCGGGUCGUCCUUGGUGCGCGCCCGGCCGUAGGUGGCCAGCAGCGCGUUCGCCUC
RNAcentral lists this antisense RNA (75 nucleotides) under Candidatus Protofrankia californiensis. Its description in RNAcentral is "Candidatus Frankia californiensis ASpks TB sRNA". It matches the Rfam family "ASpks TB sRNA". Lineage: Bacteria; Bacillati; Actinomycetota; Actinomycetes; Frankiales; Frankiaceae. The record is from Rfam by way of RNAcentral.